UAAGUACUAAAUAGANNNCCCAACANUAGUUGAUUACANUGAACAAGUUACUGUAGGGAUAACAGCGUAAUAUAUAUCUAAAGUUCUUAUUUUGAUAUAAGUUUGCGACCUCGAUGUUGAAUUNAUAUUACUUUCAAGCGCAAGAGCUUGAAAAGUGGGUCUGUUCGACCCCUAAAUAUAUACAUGAUUUGAGUUCAAAUCGGUGUAAACCAGAUUGGUUUCUAUCUAUUNUUAUUUGUGUCUUAGUACGAAAGGACCUGAAACAAUAUUAUAUAAUNAUUUAUAUGGCAGAAAAAUGCUUUAGAUUUAGGAUCUAAUUAUGAUAGAUUAUUAUACUCUAUUUAACUUGCCUAAUCUCUGUUAUUAGAAUCCUUAUCGCAGUAGCUUUUUAUACCCUCCUAGAGCGAAAAAUUCUAAGCUACAUCCAAAUUCGAAAG
This 437-nucleotide ribosomal RNA is filed under the name Sancus acoreensis. RNAcentral describes it as "partial 16S ribosomal RNA". The stretch from base 1 to 226 matches the Rfam family "Bacterial large subunit ribosomal RNA", at positions 2402 to 2642 of the family's 2925-position model. The record is from RNAcentral. Lineage: Eukaryota; Metazoa; Arthropoda; Arachnida; Araneae; Tetragnathidae.